UACGUAGGUGGCAAGCGUUGUCCGGAUUUACUGGGCGUAAAGAGCGCGCAGGCGGUUCAUCAAGUCGAAUGUGAAAGCCCCCGGCUUAACUGGGGAGGGUCAUUCGAUACUGAUCGACUCGAAGGCAGGAGAGGGUAGUGGAAUUCCCGGUGUAGUGGUGAAAUGCGUAGAUAUCGGGAGGAACACCAGUGGCGAAGGCGACUACCUGGCCUGUUCUUGACGCUGAGGCGCGAAAGCUAGGGGAGCAAACGGG
This 253-nucleotide ribosomal RNA is filed under the name uncultured bacterium. RNAcentral describes it as "partial 16S ribosomal RNA". It matches the Rfam family "Bacterial small subunit ribosomal RNA", at positions 524 to 776 of the family's 1533-position model. The record is from RNAcentral.